UUGGAGGGCAAGUCUGGUGCCAGCAGCCGCGGUAAUUCCAGCUCCAAUAGCGUAUAUUAAAGUUGUUGCAGUUAAAAAGCUCGUAGUUGAAUUUCGGGGUUCUACCGUUGGUCGGGCUUUGUCUGUACUGGUGUGUAGAAUUUCUACCUUCUGGGGAACCAUCAUGCUAUUAAUUUAGCGUGGUGGGAAACCAGGACCUUUACCUUGAAAAAAUUAGUGUGUUCAAAGCAGGCUUAUGUCUGAAUACAUUAGCGUGGAAUAAUAGAAUAGGACGGUGGUCCUGUUUUGUUGGUUUCUGAAUCACCGUAAUGAUUAAUAGGGAUAGUUGGGGGCAUUAGUAUUCAAUUGUCAGAGGUGAAAUUCUUGGAUUUAUUGAAGACUAACUUCUGCGAAAGCAUUUGCCAAGGAUGUUUUCAUUAAUCAAGAACGAAAGUUAGGGGAUCGAAGACGAUCAGAUACCGUCGUAGUCUUAACCAUAAACUAUGCCGACUAGGGAUCGGACGACGUUAAUUUUUCUUGACUCGUUCGGCGCCUUACGGGAAAC
Molecule: ribosomal RNA, 544 nt
Filed under: uncultured Glomeromycotina
Lineage: Eukaryota; Fungi; Glomeromycota
Description: SSU rRNA
Rfam family: Eukaryotic small subunit ribosomal RNA
Source: RNAcentral